AAAAACCCUCUCAUAUCCACUCUCGUUUUCUCUCCCCCCAUCAUCUCCUCUCUCCCUCGCCCCACCUUAUUAAACCAGAGAAAACCACUCUCGUUCUUUCCCUCACUCUGCCUCUCCCUCUAACUGCCCCAACUCUACUCAAGCAAAGCCACCACCUGAGCUACAUCAAAGCCACUGCCUUCACCAUUUAUAAGUACAUCUCUCUGUCUUUUUUAGGUCGCUCUCUCUCUCUCAAUUCUUUGUUACAUUUGCUUCCAAAUUUUGUUGUUGUUUAUGAUUUGUAUCUCUUGCUACAGUUAGAAGAACACAACAUACACAAAGGAGGAUGGAUAUUUUUACGGGAAAAAAUACAGUUUGCCAAACACAGCUUGAUGAUCCAUAUUAACAAAACUGGAUUUUUUAUUAUAUAUAUAGAGUUGCAAGUUGCAACUUUGUUCAAAUUCAC
This 445-nucleotide long non-coding RNA is filed under the name Amborella trichopoda. RNAcentral describes it as "long non-coding RNA (ATRI_LNC001940)". The record is from RNAcentral. Lineage: Eukaryota; Viridiplantae; Streptophyta; Magnoliopsida; Amborellales; Amborellaceae.